RNAcentral lists this ribosomal RNA (253 nucleotides) under uncultured bacterium. Its description in RNAcentral is "partial 16S ribosomal RNA". It matches the Rfam family "Bacterial small subunit ribosomal RNA", at positions 524 to 776 of the family's 1533-position model. The record is from RNAcentral.
UACAGAGGGUGCAAGCGUUAAUCGGAAUUACUGGGCGUAAAGCGAGCGUAGUCGGUUAUUUAAGUCGGAUGUGAAAUCCCCGGGCUCAACCUGGGAAUUGCAUUCGAUACUGGAUAGCUAGAGUUUGGCAGAGGGAAGCGGAAUUUCUGGUGUAGCGGUGAAAUGCGUAGAUAUCAGAAGGAACAUCAGUGGCGAAAGCGGCUUCCUGGACCAGAACUGACGAUCAGGCUCGAAAGCGUGGGGAGCAAACAGG